RNAcentral lists this ribosomal RNA (506 nucleotides) under uncultured bacterium. RNAcentral describes it as "partial 16S ribosomal RNA". It matches the Rfam family "Bacterial small subunit ribosomal RNA", at positions 29 to 523 of the family's 1533-position model. The record is from RNAcentral.
AGUGAACGCUGGCGGUAGGCCUAACACAUGCAAGUCGAACGGCAGCACAGGAGAGCUUGCUCUCUGGGUGGCGAGUGGCGGACGGGUGAGGAAUACAUCGGAAUCUACUUUUUCGUGGGGGAUAACGUAGGGAAACUUACGCUAAUACCGCAUACGACCUACGGGUGAAAGCAGGGGAUCUUCGGAACUUGCGCGAUUGAAUGAGCCGAUGUCGGAUUAGGUAGUUGGCGGGGUAAAGGCCCACCAAGGCGACGAUCCGUAGCUGGUCUGAGAGGAUGAUCAGCCACACUGGAACUGAGACACGGUCCAGACUCCUACGGGAGGCAGCAGUGGGGAAUAUUGGACAAUGGGCGCAAGCCUGAUCCAGCCAUACCGCGUGGGUGAAGAAGGCCUUCGGGUUGUAAAGCCCUUUUGUUGGGAAAGAAAUCCAGCUGGUUAAUACCCGGUUGGGAUGACGGUACCCAAAGAAUAAGCACCGGCUAACUUCGUGCCAGCAGCCGCGGUAA